CGGCACUGGGUGUUCGACGAGGGGCUGCUGCUCCCGGGCUACCCCCGGCCCCUCUCGGAGCUCGGCCGCGGCGUCCCCAGCGACCGCGUGGACGCCGCCCUGCUCUGGCUGCCCAGCGGCCACACCUACCUCUUCCGGGGCGACAAGUGCGUCCGGGGCCUUCCGGAACCUUCCGGAACCUUCUCGAAUUUUCUGGGAUUUUUUGGGAAUUUUUUGGGAUUUUUUUCCCCGGAAGUUUGGGGCUUUUUAUGCACCUUCCAGGACCUGUCUCUGCUAUUUCUGGGCUUUUUUGGGACCUUCCGGGACCUUCUCUGAACCUUUCUGCACCUUCCAGGACCUUUCUAGACCUUCUGGGACCUUCCAGAAUUUUCUGGGAUUUUUUGGGAAUUUUUUGGGAUUUUUUUCGCGGAAUUUUGGGGCUUUUUAUGUAUCUUCCAGGACCUGUCUGGGCUGGUUUUGGGCUGUUUUUCGGCCCUUUCUGCACCUUCUAGAACCUUCUCUGAACCUUUCUGCACCUUCCAGGACCUUGCUGGAUCUUCUGGAACCUUCUGGGGCCUUCCAGAAUUUUCUGGGAUUUUUUGGGAUUUUUUCUGGGAAUUUCGGGGCUUUUUAUGUACCUUCCAGGACCUGUCUCUGCUAUUUCUGGGCUUUUUUGGGACCUUCUGGAACCUUCUCUGAACCUUCCUGCACCUUCCAGGACCUUUCUAGACCUUCUGGG
RNAcentral lists this long non-coding RNA (718 nucleotides) under Junco hyemalis (dark-eyed junco). RNAcentral describes it as "lncRNA (ENSJHYG00000013145.1)". Lineage: Eukaryota; Metazoa; Chordata; Aves; Passeriformes; Passerellidae. The record is from RNAcentral.